Symphalangus syndactylus (siamang) is the source of this 292-nucleotide long non-coding RNA. RefSeq lists it as uncharacterized. The record is from RefSeq and is a predicted model, not a curated record. Lineage: Eukaryota; Metazoa; Chordata; Mammalia; Primates; Hylobatidae.
GGGUUUCUUCUUCCCAAAUCGGAACUGAGCUACCUGAUGGAAAAUGAGCAAGAUUAUUGUGUGGUGAAGAGAGACCUCUCGUAAAGUUCCUGUCCAGUUGGUUGAAUCCAUGGAUGCGGAACCUGUGGAUACCGAGGGCCGACUGUAAUGAAUACCCAAAUGACCCAGCAAGAGGGACAUUUCACUUGCCCCCUCACAGCCAUUGUAUAUGAGUGUCUUGUGAUGAUGAGGAUGAUGAUGAUGAUAAUGAUGAUGAUGAUGAUGAUAUGAUAAAAAUAGCUGUAAUGCAUUU